UAUGUGGCUCCUAGAGGCAGCGAGGUUUAUAAGGAGGUGCAAGUACUGGGCUGCGCAUAUCGAGUGGACGAUCACUGGCACCAUUGCUGGCACGAAGCAAGAAAAAGUAUGAGGUCGCUUCUCAUAGUCCUGGUCGCAUUCGCUCUUCAGGAGGUGGUACUCGGAAGGGCUACUACUGAGGCACCAUGCCCUCAAAAUACAACACGAAAACAUAACGUGGGAAACUGUGAUGAGUGCAAAUGCUCCUCGCUCGACCAGCCUGAUGGAAGACCACUAGUUUGCACUUUGGAGCUUGUUUUGUCAGGGUGUAUGUGCGAUAAUGAGCAUUGUAGAACCAAAGAUGGCAAAAAAUGCGUCUCUAGAUCUGACUGCUACUAACUAACGCAGUAUAGCCAUGGAAAUCUGCUAUUGCCGAUCUCACGCAUUAAAAAAAUAA
Dermacentor silvarum is the source of this 436-nucleotide long non-coding RNA. RefSeq lists it as uncharacterized. NCBI's taxonomy places the organism in Eukaryota, Metazoa, Arthropoda, Arachnida, Ixodida, Ixodidae. The record is from RefSeq and is a predicted model, not a curated record. The transcript is spliced from 2 exons.